This 9585-nucleotide long non-coding RNA is filed under the name Populus tremula. RNAcentral describes it as "long non-coding RNA (PTRE_LNC001754)". The record is from RNAcentral. Lineage: Eukaryota; Viridiplantae; Streptophyta; Magnoliopsida; Malpighiales; Salicaceae.
GACAGCGUUGAAUUUGCGGCAUCGUAGGUGAAAUGAAGGUAGGAGGAGAGUGUAGGGAGGUCUAAACAGUGGAUGUACAGAUUGUUGUUUGUGAACGUCUGUGAGGCGCAUGUUUGUGAACGUACGGGUAAGGUUAGAGAAAUUGAGACGCAAAAGGUUAGAAGCAAAGCAGAAAUUUUAAACGGAGAUGCCAUUUUUUAGAGCAAAGGAAGAGUUGAGAGAAGGAUUGGCUCUUGAAGGUUUGGCGCAGUAUAUAUAUAGAAAAGAAGGAAAGAAAUAGACUGCAGAUGCCGAAGGUUGAUGGCGUAGGAGGAUUUUUAAUUAUUUAUUUUUUUAAUUAUCUUUAUUUAUAUUUAAUCUGGGAAAAUAUUUUUUCAUGUUUUUUCUUUUUUUAUUUAGUUUAGGAAAUUAUUUGAUAUUUUAAAAAAUUGUUUGAUAUUUUUAUUUUUUUCAUGUUCAUUUUAGAAAUUAUUCAAUUUAAGAAUUUUAUGUUUUAUUAUUUAAUUUAGGCUUAAGACUAGUAUAAAUAGGAUUGCUUAACUUGUAUUUUAGAAAACAAUAGCCAAUAAUAAAAUCUUAAAUUAGAGCAUUUGUGUGGUGAUUCUAUUCAACAAAUUUUUAUAUUGUCAAUACUUGUUUUUCUAGUUUAUUUUCAUUUAUCAACGCUCAACAAUUCCUAAUAAUUAAUAUUGUAUGUCGUUAAAUAAUAUUGACAGGAAAAGUUCAUAAAAUAUGAUGUGUUUAUAUAGGAAAGGAUAAAGAGAUUCUUUUCAAAAAAGAGAUGUUCACAAACUGGUAAUAUAAAAUAUAUAGAAUCAAAUUGCAGAAUUAACCUUUCAGUUGGUAGAAAUAGAGAACUUGACGAAUCACAUGGAGAGUCAUCGCAAAUCCAUGUCUAGCUUUGAAAAAUAGUUUGAGAAAUGAAAGCAAAUGAGGUAGUCUUUUGAUUAAGAUAAAUAUCAUAUAGAUUUUAGCAAUCUCGUUUAAGAUGAAAUAGAUAUGAAUUGAUAUUUUUUUUAUUAUCAAUUUAUCAUGUUUAUUUUGAUAAUGAUUGUAAUGUUAAUCAUUGUAUAAACAACGAUAAUGACAUCAAUGAUGUCUUCAUUGACAAGUUAGAGGUUAAGUGCAAAAAGUAUAUAGAAAAUGUUAAACAAAAGAAAAUUAUUUAUUGAGGCUAUGUUGAUUUUUUUGAUUUCAAGCUUAUUAUUAUUAAAAAGGUAGAUUUAUUCGAGGAUUAUUUGGAUAUAACUAGUGUUGAUGAAGUAAGCUUGAGGUUUGUAAUUUGUUACUCUAAAAGCCAAUAAAAAAAGAAAUAGUUUGUCAAAUUUUAAUUCUUAUGGAAACUUCAACAUAAAAUGAUUGAAGUUAAUAUCUAAAAUUGUUAUACACACAGAAAAAAGAAAGAAAAAAGAGUUGGACAAUCUGGAUUUUACAUCUGCGAGAUUAAGAUAAGAACAAUUAUAACUUGAUAACAAGUUCUCUCUAGCAUAUAGAGAUUGAUACAGGAGGAGUUUUACGAGAAAUUAUUUAUUAUUUAUUUUUAGUUUUAUUUAGCCUAGGUAAGUAUGUUUAGAAAAUCAAAUACUAUGUUUGACAAUUAUUUUUUUCCGUUUAGUUUAAGAUUUAUACAGUCUAGAAUUUUUUUUAUUUAGUAUUGAUCUAAAACUAGUAUAAACAGAGUUGCUUAACUUAUCUGUAAAAAAAAAAAAAAAGUUGCUUAACUUAUGUUUGAGUAAAUUAUUUAAAUAUAUAUAUUUAAUAAUAAAAUUUAAAGUUAAAGUUUCUAUGCUAUAACUCUAUUCGACAGGACUGUAUGAUAUUGGUUAUUUUUUAAAUGAUAUUUUGUAUCAAAAUGUAUGUUAAUGAUUUUUUUUUUAUUUUUUUAAAAUUAUUUUUAAUUUAAAAUAUUAAAAUGAUUUGAAAACACUAAAAAUAUAUUAAUUUGAAGUUAAUAAAAAAAUAAAAAAUUCUUUUAAAAACAUUUUUAAAACGCUAAAACAAAAUAUUUUAUCUUAUAUAUAUAUAUAUAUAUAGAGAGAGAGAGAGAGAGAGAGAGUUAAAUUGGUCAAUGCAACUUUUACACAGUUCUGUUUGACUGAUACGUAGGCCGAGCAGGACACGCAGAGGAUGUGAGGAGAAGAAAAGGAAAUGUAAUUAUUGUUUUUUCUUAUUAUUAAACAGCAUGUGUGGUUAUGAUUGUUAAAAAAAGAAAAAAAGAAUUGAAAAAUGUUUGAAUUUGGGAAUUACAAAAGGUAGCAGAGAUGACACGUGGAAUUUGACCUAAAUAUGUUAAUUUAUUUUUACCUGAUUCCCAACUAAUUUCAUGCCGAAAUGCUCGAGUUACGCUAGCUUUUACCUAGACAUGCUUUCUAAAAUAUUUUCAACAGGUGGAUUUUUAUUUUCCGGAGUCAAAUCCACUUAUUUAUACAUAAUAUACGAUUUUCAGGAGAUAUUGAUUCUUUGAUGGUAAAAUUAGCAUUUUUAUUUUUAGUGUUUUAACAGAAAGAAGUCAAGUAGAUGUUGAAUGCCUCUUACUAUAAUCGGAAUAUCGUUUAUAAUUAGUUUUUUUUUUAAUCAAUUUAUAUUUCCAGGUUGUUAGUAAAUUGUUAUUCAAGUUUUUUCGAGAACCGUAACAAAUACCAUAUACUAUGCACAUAGUAUUAUCCGAGGAGUUCCCGCUUCGUUGGGAAAUUGUAUUAUUAUUUUUGCUUAAUAAAUAAUGUUCAGGUAUCACAAGUUUUUUUUUUAAAAUAAUAUAUAACUCGGAUUAUAAAUCUGACUAUAUCAAAUAAUAUGAUAUUAUUUUAUUUAGAUAAAAAAAAAUAUAGAAAACAAUAACCCGGUAUAUAAUGUCAAACUCACGGUUCAAAUAAUAAAAUUAGAAUAACUUAAUAAAAAUAAAAAAAAUUAUAAAGUUUUUUUUAAUAAAAAAAAAUGUUAACUUUUUAAACUUGUGAAUUGAAGUCAUUAGACCCGAAACAUCUUAUCUGAAAAAACCAUGAAGUUUAAUUCUUAGUCAAAUAAAUAUUGAAGAAUGAAAUUGAAGAAAAAAACUCAAUUAUACAAAAUAAUUCAAAAAAUAUCAAUAAAAGUAUAAUGAUCAAAAUUAAAAUACAAAAUAAUUUUUUUAUGUAAUUCAAUGAUGAGAUUUUAAAGAAAAAUCAAUUGAGCAAGAUGACCUAAAAAAUCAAAAGAAUGAGGAUCUCACUUGACAUAAAAAUAUAUAAAAAAUAUUUUAAUUGAAGACUGAAAUUGAAAAUAAUAAUAACUUUUACAAAAUGGCCAGGAAAAAAAAAUUUGAAAUCAAAACAAUAAGAACCAGAUUGAAAAAUAUAAUACCAUCAAUCUGCAUUGAAGGAUGAAAUUAAAAAUUAAUAAAAUUUUUACAAAAAAACCAAGGAAAAAUAUGAGAAAUAAAAAAAUAAAGACCAAAUUGACAAAAAUAAUAUAUAGCAUAUUGGGAUGGAAUGAUCAAAUUGAAAACAAAUAAUUUUUUUUAAUAAAAGAGUCAAGAACAAAAAAAUAAAAAAAGUAAGGAUUGAAGUUGAAAAAUCAACAAUAAAAAAAGUCAAGUUGUAAUUUUCAAGGUGAGGCAAGAAAAAAAAAGAAAAAAAGGCCUAUUGAUAACAAAUUUUGAUCACCAGAAUAGACACGAGCUGCUACACAUAAAAGAUGACACAACAACGUUUUAGUGGGCAUUUUUAGAUAUCAAGAGAUGUUGCACAUGCCACAUACAAGGUGCGGGCACUUCCAACGCGUCUUUUGGUGUCAUACAUACGCCCAAUCUUUUUGUUAUGUGUGUAUAUAUAUAAUUAAAUACCAAAAAAUACAAAAAUAUACUUUGAUGGAGAUCUUAUAUUUUUUUUAUUUUAAAAAUAUUUUUGUUAUUGCAUUAUGCAAUUGAGAUUGAAAAAGGUUUAUUUAUACCAGGUUAAUUUGAUGAUGACAAAUGGGCUUUAUGCAAAAAUAGUUAAAUGCCAUUGGAAGAUAAUGAUAAUGUUUUUGAAUGAAAAAGUACACUACUAGAAAAUUAAUAAAUACAAACGAAAAUAUUCCCUCGGUAUAUACCGAGAGAAUUACCGUGAGAAAUUUUUUUAAAACAAAGCAAAAAAAAUGAUGACGUGUCAUUUUUUACCGACGGAAUUACAGACGGCAAAUUUUGUCGGUAAUUUCGUCGGGAAAUCCGUUUGUAAACUGUGAACACUGUUCAUUAUGUCAAUUACAAAGAGAAUUACCGACGGAAUUUGCCGUCGGUAUUUUUCAGAGAGCUCCAGAACUGUUCAUUUUCCAAUUGCACUGUUAAUUGUUUUACUUUACGGACAAAAUAACUGACGGAUUGAAAAUGCAUCGGUGUGUUUUGGUGGUUUUCUGAAAAAAUUCAAUUGAUUUAAAAUUUUCAUUUAAAUAUUACAGACGGAAUCACCGACGGAUUAAAAAAUCAUCGCUAAUUUUUUGACGGUUUCUGAAACUUUUUACGAAAUUGAAAAUUUAAAUUAAAUAUUACCGAUGAAAUAAUUAAAAAAUAUUAAUAUUCAAUUAUCCAUCGGUAACGAACCCCAAUAAAAAACCUGAAUCCGCUUUUUCACAAUAGACAGACUCAUUAUUUCUUUUUCUUCUUCUACUACUUCUACUUUUUCAUCUUCUUCACUAUAUGUAAAAAACAUCAAUAUCUAUUUCUUUCUCUUCUUUUCUCUUCUUUUCUCUCCUCAUCUCCUUCUCUUUUUCUCCAUGCUCGGGUAUGUCUUCUUCUUCUUUCUUCUUUUAUCCUCUUAGUUUUUUUUAAUUAAUAUGCUUUACGAAUUUGUUUUUUCCUUAGCUUCACUUGCAAGUAUAUUAAGGUAAGAUUUUACUUUUUUCUUAUUUUUUCAUGAUUGAUUUCACUAUAUUUGUUUUUUAGUUAAUUUUAAUUGAUUUUGUUCAUAAUAAUUGUAUAAAUGUUGUUGUGAGAUUUUGUUUUCAUAUGAGAUCAAUUUUUAGUUGAUUUAUUUAUAGGAUUUUUAAAUUUUUAGCAAUUGCAACUUCAUUUUUUUCAUAUGAAUUUUUUUAGUUGAAUUAAUUUUUUUGUUUUAUUUUUUUUGUUGUAAAUUUGUUUGAGUUGAUUUUCUUAUUCUUUUUUCCAAGCAUUUUGAGUAUAUAUUAUACAAUGUUGAUUUAGUUAUUUUAUAAUUUUAUACAAUGAAUUUUUUUAAAAUGUUUUUAAAUAAUUACCGACGUAAAAUUCCGUCGGUAAAUCCGUUGGUAAUAAACAAAUAUUUUGACCAACGCGUCUGUUCCGUGGGUAAUAAUAUUACCGACAAACAAAAAAUUACCGACGAAAGAUUCAUCGACGGAAAUUCUCUGUCGGUGAUUUCGUCGGUAAAUUAAUUACCGAUGGAAUAUGUGUGUUACGCCGACGGAAAAAUUCCGUCGGUAAAACUGUUAAAUCUUGUAGUGGUAAAACUAUUCUUACAUUGUUCAAGUAAACAAUAUACUUAAAUCUUAAAUUUGGAGCUAUAAUGUUUUUCCGAGACCAAUUGGUUUUCUUUAAUCCAGUUACAAUUAACAUUAUGAUUGAUAUGAUUUAAUACAAUGAAAAAAAAAUGUACAAUAAUGAUUGGUUGCUUUAUUUUAUUAUUUCAUUUGGUGAUGGUAUGUAUUGCGAUUUUUUAAAAUAUUUUUUAUUAAUUUAAAAUAUAUCAAAAUAAUAUUUUUAUUUUUAUUAACACGUCAAGACCAUAAUAAAAUACUUAAAAAAAAAGUAAUCUUAUAAUGUUUUAGAUAAAAAACAAAUUGAAAAGCAAAAGCUGUCACAUUGUCAGAUAGGUAUAAAAUGACUCUGUUUAACAUUACAGUCCAAAAUUCUUGCAUUUGUUGUAGCUUUAAAUUAAUUUUUUUUAUCCUUAUUGGUUAUUUUGAUAAGCUAACAUUAAAAAUAAAGUUUUUUUAAAUAUUAUUUUAAUAUAUUUUUAAAUGAAAAAUACUUUAAAAAAUAAUAUAUAUCACACCCCUAAAUAGAUCUUAAAUAUACGCAAUAAAAGGUUUGAUAAACUUUUUUAUUUUAGACACUGCAAUAGUUAAGAAAUUUGUUUUAGUCCCUUGUAUUUUUAUUUUUAUUGCUGAAGUGGUCCUUAUUUUAAGAUUAUUUAAUCCUUUUUUUUGUUUUUGAAAUUACAUUUUAGUCUUACAAUGUAAAAUUGAGAUGUCAUGACAACUAACGACAUGUUUGGUACGAUUCAACAUGAUGUAAUCAAAGAUGUGAUAUAAUGGAAAAGUAAUAUAUAAUAAUGAUUCACUGUAUUAUUUUGUUUCGUUGUCUAAAUUUAAGUAACGUAACGAAAGCUUUUGAUAAAAUUUUAUUUUAGACACCGCAAUUGUUAAAAAAUUUAUUUCAAUCCCUUAUGUUUUUUUAUUUCCAGACACCACAAAAAAAAAGGUUGUCAUACUCAAAUAGAAAAAACUAGCCUUGAGCCCGCGCUUCGCCAAGGGUCAGCUAAAAAACUAAUAAUUGUAUAAAAAUUAAUAAAAUAUGGAUGCUAUUAUUUUUUCUUAUAUAUUAUAAAAUAUCUGGAAAGGGAAUUAAAAACUCAAUUAAUAUAUCAAACAAAAUCAAUCGAUCACCAUAAGCAUUAAUAAAUAAAUAAAAGUUGACGAGGCUUAUUCAACCUAGCAGGUCAAGGGUGAAUUGGGUAACCUGUUUAAAUGGUGAUCUGGUUAAAUAAAAAGUCACACAACCAUUGUUUUAACUCUGCUUAACUCUAGCUAAAACGUAAAACAACGAAAUGCCAAAGGAUUGGAUAAAAUCAAUAAGGGAAUGAAAUAAAAAAAUAAAAUAUUAUAUUAAUUUGAGUUAACAUAUAAAAUUUACAAUCCAGAAAAUAGACACAAUCAUAACGAAAUAGCCCAAUUGGAUUAUUUGUCUCUUUUGUUCUCCUUUUAUUCUCUUUUUGAUUAGGCCUUGAUUGAGUUAACAUAUAAAAUUUACAAUCCGGAAAAUAAACACAAUCAUAACGAGAUAGCCCAAUUGAAUUAUUUGUCUCUUUUUUUCUCCUUUUAUUCUCUUUUUGGUUAGGCCUUGAUUGAGUCUUAAUUGAAAAUGAAAUUUAAAAAGUAUAACAUAUUGUAUUGACUCGAGUUAAGUUGAAUUAACAAAUAAAAUUUACAAUUUGGAUCAUAAAUAUGAUCUCAAUUAAGCAUGAUUUUUUUAAGAUAAAUGAUAAAAAGUAUGAAAUUGUAUUUUUAUGUUAUUUUAAAUUAAAUAAAAAACUUCAAUGGCAACAAAGGAUUAAAAUGCAUUUUUAUUAAAAAAUAAAGGGAAAAUGCAUUAAACAAUAAAAAAGACAUGAAUAUUGUGUCUUAACUCGUCAAAGAAUAUAAAAAAUCGUGAAAAAAAGCUGAAAAAAGAGCCCACUAGGCCACUAAAAAAAUAACUCAGCCUGCAUGCCUAAACCUUGUAUAUUUUUUUGUCUUUUUAAGAUGACUUAUCAUCUAUCCCUAUUCAUUUGGAAUGAAACUGAUAGUCAAACGUGUUGUUUAUCUAUCCAAAUUCUAGCUUCUUAGUGAUAACUGAUAAAUUAUACAAAGAUUAAGGAGCUAAGAAGAGAUGUGUAUCACACUAGAACCUCUCCGGCAAGUGAGGUUCGAAGAAGGGUAUUACAGAAUCAUGGUCUGCCACGGAAAACAGCAACAAUCCGUUGAUCAUGGUCUGCUUUUUCCACCUCAUCCUUCAUAGGGCUUCGUGGAUUUACUAGACUUCCUCCUCAAAACUACAAUCCAAGUGAUUAAUUCCAGAAACGCAGCAAUUCCACCCAAGACUGCAAUGACAAUUAUGUAAAUUGUUCUCCAUUUAUCUCCAGGCUGCAAGAUAUCUAGACCUUUAAACACAUUCAAGAUGCCAAGGAUGAGGAUGGCAUAUCCGACACCAUGAUGGUAGAUAUUCCAGUAAAGUCGGUAUUUGUGGUCCUUCUUCGGCCUCAAGAACAAUGCAAAUAUCUGAAAAUUCCAAGCAUAGAGUUGCUAUCAGAAUAAAUAAAUCCAAAAUUAAUAGUAACAGUUCAGACAAAGCCAGUUUCCAUAUACAUUGCAAGUAGUACCGUCGGCCAAGAAGAUGGACAGCUAUAGAAAAAGGGUUGAAUUUAUUUCUAAGUCAGUUUUGUAAUGAAAUUUUGUUUUUUUAAGAAAUAAGAAACAUAUCCCCUAAUUAGUAUUCAUUAUAAGAAAACGCUAAGAGAAAAUAAAACUGACUGAGACAUGCUAAAAAUUCCGAAUUCAUCACCCUUUUCUUUUCACAUGUCUUACGGGUUAUAAUUCGAAAUACCAUAGGAGAAAGCGACUCCACAAGUACCAUUUUUGUCAAGUUGAUUCAAUUUCACGCAUUAAUAAUUCAGUACAUUGCAAGAAACCGUGACCAUGAUUUUGACAGGAGAGAAAAGGACAUCAACAAGCUCAACAUGGAAACAAAGGCCAAAUUCAAAUCUUUUCUCUCCUUUCAAAGGAAAUCAAUUACCUGCACUGUUGCAAGAGCGAAGAGUGCGAUCCCAAUAUUGCGAUGAAGAGAAAACUGGACUCCCUUGGAUUCAUUCCCAAGCUUUAUACCAGUUGCCCACCCUGCAACCCCGAUAGCAUAGGCAGAGACCUGACAGGAAACAUGAAGGUAAAACCAUGCAGGAUCUGCUGAUGGAAAAGUUCUCAGAUAUCUUGCUAUUACAAUUCCAAGCGGAAACAGAAUUCCCCAGCUCACAGCAUUCAGUACUCCAUGAAUCUGGAGAGAAAAAAAAACAAUAACACAGUAAAUAUUUCAUUUCCAAUGCUACUAAUUUUUCCAAAAAGAAAAAGAAAAAACCCAACUCAAAAAUAAAUCUUCAAAAUCCAGAAAGGGGUACGGAAAAGAUGUUAAUUUUUCAACACAAAUGAAUAAAUAAAUAAGCUUACAUUUUUUCUUUUCGUCCUGGAAUCCAGUCCACCAGAGCUAACACUUUUUCCUCCGUUCAAAUCCAAAGUCCCUUUAGAGUUCAAAUUAGGAGCACCCAUAUCAUGGAUUGUCGGCCCACCCUUGGCAGCAUCGACAGAUGACCCAACUUGCCACACCUGAUUCAGCGUCCCCUUCGCCGCCAGCUCCGGCGGGACCUUAAUUUUGGCAAAUAUUCUCAUCACUCCACUUUCCUCUUCUGCGCGCGUGUCCCAGACGUCAAAGGCCAGCUCCGACUGCACAACCGAAUAAGGCGUGGAGGUGCUGAUAUUAUAAGUCUUUGCGCUCAUUACACCCUUGGAGUCCUUGAACGCUACCAGUGCCUGGGCCCCGCCCAUGGCUGGAACCGUGGGAUUUAUGGCCCAUGAAAUCCAGCCGUUGGAUUUCGCAGGAGAAGCAAAGAAGGCGACGGACAGCGUUGAAUUUGCGGCAUCGUAGGUGAAAUGAAGGUAGGAGGAGAGUGUAGGGAGGUCUAAACAGUGGGCGUACAGAUUGUUGUUUGUGAAAGUCUGUGAGGCGCAUGUUUGUGAACGUACGGGUAAGGUUAGAGAAAUUGAGACGCAAAAGGUUAGAAGCAAAGCAGAAAUUUUAAACGGAGAUGCCAUUUUUUAGAGCGAAGGAAAAGUUGAGAGAAGGAUUUG